Molecule: ribosomal RNA, 460 nt
Filed under: uncultured bacterium
Lineage: Bacteria
Description: partial 16S ribosomal RNA
Rfam family: Bacterial small subunit ribosomal RNA
Source: RNAcentral
CCUACGGGAGGCAGCAGUGAGGAAUAUUGGUCAAUGGACGAGAGUCUGAACCAGCCAAGUAGCGUGAAGGAUGACUGUCCUAUGGGUUGUAAACUUCUUUUAUCUGGGAAUAAAAUGUUCCACGUGUGGCUUUGUGUAUGUACCUUAUGAAUAAGGAUCGGCUAACUCCGUGCCAGCAGCCGCGGUAAUACGGAGGAUCCGAGCGUUAUCCGGAUUUAUUGGGUUUAAAGUGAGCGUAGGUGGGUUGUUAAGUCAGUUGUGAAAGUUUGCGGCUCAACCGUAACAUUGCAGUAGAAACUGGCAGUCUUGAGAACAGUAGAGGUAGGCGGAAUGCGUGGUGUAGCGGUGAAAUGCUUAGAUAUCGCGAAGAACUCCGAUUGCGAAGGCAGCUCACUGGACGGCAACUGACACUGAGGCUCGAAAGUGUGGGUAUCAAACAGGAUUAGAUACCCCUGUAGUC